Molecule: ribosomal RNA, 254 nt
Filed under: uncultured bacterium
Lineage: Bacteria
Description: partial 16S ribosomal RNA
Rfam family: Archaeal small subunit ribosomal RNA
Source: RNAcentral
CACCAGCGCCACAAGUGGGGAUCCUGUUUAUUUGGCCUAAAGCGUUCGUAGCUGGUUGUGUAAAUCUCUUGUGAAAUUGUUCGGCUUAACCGAGCAGCGUGCAGGAGAGACUGCAUAGCUAGGGACCGGGAGGAGUUAGGGAUAUGCUGGGGGGAGCGGUAAAAUGCUAUAAUCCUCAGUGGAUCACCUGUGGCGAAGGCGCCUAACUAGAACGGGUCCGACAGUGAGGGACGAAAGCCAGGGGAGCAAACCGG